AAUUCUCAACCACACAAGUUGUGUUAAACGACUUGAGUGGUUUGGAUUUGGGACUGUUGCUGGCUUUUCAAGUCGGCUAUCCUGAAAUGCAUUAGCAGUGCUUUUAUUUGCCAGUCUAUUGGUGUGAUAUGCAUCUACGCCAUUUGGAGAAUUGAAGUCUGCUUCUAACUGUCUUUGGACAACUUACUUGACA
This 193-nucleotide unclassified non-coding RNA is filed under the name uncultured Agaricales. Its description in RNAcentral is "sequence contains ITS2". The record is from RNAcentral. Lineage: Eukaryota; Fungi; Basidiomycota; Agaricomycetes; Agaricales.